Molecule: ribosomal RNA, 253 nt
Filed under: uncultured bacterium
Lineage: Bacteria
Description: partial 16S ribosomal RNA
Rfam family: Bacterial small subunit ribosomal RNA
Source: RNAcentral
UACGAAGGGGACUAGCGUUGUUCGGAAUCACUGGGCGUAAAGCGCACGUAGGCGGAUGUGUCAGUCAGGGGUGAAACCCUGGAGCUCAACUCCAGAACUGCCUUUGAUACUGAAAGUCUUGAGUACGGGAGAGGUGAGUGGAACUGCGAGUGUAGAGGUGAAAUUCGUAGAUAUUCGCAAGAACACCAGUGGCGAAGGCGGCUCACUGGCCCGUAACUGACGCUGAGGCACGAAAGCGUGGGGAGCAAACAGG